CAAGAGGAGCCUGGAGACAGGUGCUGCAUGGCUGUCGUCAGCUCGUGUCGUGAGAUGUUCGGUUAAGUCCGCUAACGAGCGCAACCCUCGCUGUGUGUUACAAGUGCCACACGGAACUGCCGGUCAUAAACCGGAGGAAGUGGGAUGACGUCAAGUCAGCAUGGCCUUUAUAUCCCUGGGCUACACACACGCUACAAUGGGAAGGGACAAUAGGUUGCGAAGCCGCGAGGCGGAGCCAAUCCAGCAAAACUUCCCUCAGUUCAGAUUGCAGGCUGCAACCCGCCUGCAUGAAGUUGGAGUUGCUAGUAAACGCAGGUCAGCCAUACUGCGUUGAAUACGUUCCCGGGGCUU
RNAcentral lists this ribosomal RNA (351 nucleotides) under uncultured Anaerolineaceae bacterium. RNAcentral's name for it is "bacterial SSU rRNA". It matches the Rfam family "Bacterial small subunit ribosomal RNA", at positions 1018 to 1382 of the family's 1533-position model. Lineage: Bacteria; Bacillati; Chloroflexota; Anaerolineae; Anaerolineales; Anaerolineaceae. The record is from RNAcentral.